GCAGUCGAGCGGAGAGAGGUAGCUUGCUACCGAUCUUAGCGGCGGACGGGUGAGUAAUGCUUAGGAAUCUGCCUAUUAGUGGGGGACAACAUUUCGAAAGGAAUGCUAAUACCGCAUACGUCCUACGGGAGAAAGCAGGGGAUCUUCGGACCUUGCGCUAAUAGAUGAGCCUAAGUCGGAUUAGCUAGUUGGUGGGGUAAAGGCCUACCAAGGCGACGAUCUGUAGCGGGUCUGAGAGGAUGAUCCGCCACACUGGGACUGAGACACGGCCCAGACUCCUACGGGAGGCAGCAGUGGGGAAUAUUGGACAAUGGGCGCAAGCCUGAUCCAGCCAUGCCGCGUGUGUGAAGAAGGCCUUAUGGUUGUAAAGCACUUUAAGCGAGGAGGAGGCUACUUUAGUUAAUACCUAGAGAUAGUGGACGUUACUCGCAGAAUAAGCACCGGCUAACUCUGUGCCAGCAGCCGCGGUAAUACAGAGGGUGCAAGCGUUAAUCGGAUUUACUGGGCGUAAAGCGCGCGUAGGCGGCUAAUUAAGUCAAAUGUGAAAUCCCCGAGCUUAACUUGGGAAUUGCAUUCGAUACUGGUUAGCUAGAGUGUGGGAGAGGAUGGUAGAAUUCCAGGUGUAGCGGUGAAAUGCGUAGAGAUCUGGAGG
This 652-nucleotide ribosomal RNA is filed under the name Acinetobacter pittii. RNAcentral describes it as "bacterial SSU rRNA". It matches the Rfam family "Bacterial small subunit ribosomal RNA", at positions 57 to 704 of the family's 1533-position model. The record is from RNAcentral. Lineage: Bacteria; Pseudomonadati; Pseudomonadota; Gammaproteobacteria; Moraxellales; Moraxellaceae.